GGCGGUGUAGCUCAGCUGGCUAGAGCGUACGGUUCAUACCCGUGAGGUCGGGGUUCGAUCCCCUCCACCGCCACUA
RNAcentral lists this transfer RNA (76 nucleotides) under Staphylococcus aureus. RNAcentral's name for it is "tRNA-Met". It matches the Rfam family "tRNA". From Rfam's summary of the family: Transfer RNA (tRNA) molecules are approximately 80 nucleotides in length. Their secondary structure includes four short double-helical elements and three loops (D, anti-codon, and T loops). Further hydrogen bonds mediate the characteristic L-shaped molecular structure. tRNAs have two regions of fundamental functional importance: the anti-codon, which is responsible for specific mRNA codon recognition, and the 3' end, to which the tRNAs corresponding amino acid is attached (by aminoacyl-tRNA synthetases). tRNAs cope with the degeneracy of the genetic code in two manners: having more than one tRNA (with a specific anti-codon) for a particular amino acid; and 'wobble' base-pairing, i.e. permitting non-standard base-pairing at the 3rd anti-codon position. Lineage: Bacteria; Bacillati; Bacillota; Bacilli; Caryophanales; Staphylococcaceae. The record is from RNAcentral.